This 506-nucleotide ribosomal RNA is filed under the name uncultured bacterium. RNAcentral's name for it is "partial 16S ribosomal RNA". It matches the Rfam family "Bacterial small subunit ribosomal RNA", at positions 28 to 523 of the family's 1533-position model. The record is from RNAcentral.
GAUGAACGCUAGCUACAGGCUUAACACAUGCAAGUCGAGGGGUAACGAGAGGAAAGCUUGCUUUCCUUGUCGACGACCGGCGCACGGGUGAGUAACGCGUAUCCAACCUGCCCCCAACUAAGGAAUAACCUUGCGAAAGUAAGACUAAUACCUUAUAAUUUCCUCAGAUGUCAUCUGACGAGGAAUAAAGAUUUAUCGGUUGUGGAUGGGGAUGCGUCUGAUAAGCUUGUUGGCGGGGUAACGGCCCACCAAGGCAACGAUCAGUAGGGGUUCUGAGAGGAAGGUCCCCCACAUUGGAACUGAGACACGGUCCAAACUCCUACGGGAGGCAGCAGUGAGGAAUAUUGGUCAAUGGGCGAAAGCCUGAACCAGCCAAGUAGCGUGCGGGAUGACGGCCCUAUGGGUUGUAAACUGCUUUUAUACAGGAAUAAAGUUAGCCACGUGUGGUUAUUUGUAGGUACUGUAUGAAUAAGGACCGGCUAAUUCCGUGCCAGCAGCCGCGGUAA